RNAcentral lists this ribosomal RNA (482 nucleotides) under uncultured bacterium. RNAcentral's name for it is "bacterial SSU rRNA". It matches the Rfam family "Bacterial small subunit ribosomal RNA", at positions 27 to 507 of the family's 1533-position model. The record is from RNAcentral.
CGAAUGAACGCGUGGCGGCAUGGAUUAGGCAUGCAAGUCGAACGGGGCGCCCUCGGGCGCCCAGUGGCGAAAGGGUGAGUAACACGUGAGCAACCUGCCCCCGAGUCCGGAAUAAGCGGUGGAAACGCCGUCUAAUGCCGGAUGCGGACCGCGGCCUCCUGGCCGCGGCUCCAAAGAUUUAUCGCUCGGGGAUGGGCUCGCGCCCCAUUAGCUGGUUGGCGGGGUAACGGCCCACCAAGGCUGCGACGGGUAGGUGGACUGAGAGGUUGGUCACCCACACUGGGACUGAGACACUGCCCAGACUCCUACGGGAGGCAGCAGUGAGGAAUAUUGCGCAAUGGGGGCAACCCUGACGCAGCAACGCCGCGUGAGUGAGGAAGGUUUUCGGACUGUAAAGCUCUGUCGAGCGGGAAGAAGUGUACCAUGGCUAAUAUCCAUGAUAUUUGACGGUACCGCUAGAGGAAGCACCGGCUAACUCCGUG